This 199-nucleotide ribosomal RNA is filed under the name uncultured bacterium. RNAcentral describes it as "partial 16S ribosomal RNA". It matches the Rfam family "Bacterial small subunit ribosomal RNA", at positions 1302 to 1500 of the family's 1533-position model. The record is from RNAcentral.
AGGCUGCAACUCGCCUACACGAAGUUGGAAUUGCUAGUAAUCGUGGAUCAGCAUGCCACGGUGAAUACGUUCCCGGGUCUUGUACACACCGCCCGUCACACCAUGGGAGCUGGUAACACCCGAAGUCAGUAGUCUAACCGCAAGGAGGACGCUGCCGAAGGUGGGAUUAGCGACUGGGGUGAAGUCGUAACAAGGUAUC